Molecule: small nucleolar RNA, 70 nt
Organism: Phragmites australis (common reed)
Lineage: Eukaryota; Viridiplantae; Streptophyta; Magnoliopsida; Poales; Poaceae
Product: small nucleolar RNA Z105
Exons: 1
Source: RefSeq, a predicted model, not a curated record
UUGGCAUAAUGAGGAAAGAAAUAGUUUACGUCUGAUCUACUGGAUGAUAAAAUCCUCCUACUCAUUCUGA